RNAcentral lists this ribosomal RNA (234 nucleotides) under uncultured bacterium. RNAcentral describes it as "partial 16S ribosomal RNA". It matches the Rfam family "Bacterial small subunit ribosomal RNA", at positions 253 to 504 of the family's 1533-position model. The record is from RNAcentral.
CGGGGUAACGGCCCACCAAGGCGACGAUCAGUAGCCGACCUGAGAGGGUGACCGGCCACAUUGGGACUGAGACACGGCCCAAACUCCUACGGGAGGCAGCAGUGGGGAAUAUUGCACAAUGGGGGAAACCCUGAUGCAGCAACGCCGCGUGAGUGAAGAAGUAUUUCGGUAUGUAAAGCUCUAUCAGCAGGGAAGAUAAUGACGGUACCUGACUAAGAAGCUCCGGCUAAAUAC